UACGUAGGGUGCAAGCGUUAUCCGGAAUUAUUGGGCGUAAAGAGCUCGUAGGCGGUUUGUCGCGUCUGCCGUGAAAGUCCGGGGCUCAACUCCGGAUCUGCGGUGGGUACGGGCAGACUAGAGUGAUGUAGGGGGAGACUGGAAUUCCUGGUGUAGCGGGUGAAAAUGCGCAGAUAUCAGGGAGGGAACACCCGGGUGGGCG
RNAcentral lists this ribosomal RNA (202 nucleotides) under uncultured bacterium. RNAcentral describes it as "partial 16S ribosomal RNA". It matches the Rfam family "Bacterial small subunit ribosomal RNA", at positions 524 to 720 of the family's 1533-position model. The record is from RNAcentral.